AUGGACUCCAGUUUCAUUUGCUUGCCGGAAGAUAUUGAGUACAGACCUGUACCAUUGUCACGCUCUAUUCCUCAUGGUCACUAUGCUAGGGUGAUAGAUGACCUUGAUGUUCUAAAUCCAUUGCCACCACCACUAUACUUGAAUAUUCUGGCGCUUAGUUCCUUCAGAAGGGUUCCCUUUUAUGUUUCCGAACAAAUUCAAUGGGAAAUUGCUCCUGAUAUUGUCAAGAAAUUGCUGCCUCUCAGCAUGGGUGAUGAAAUCCUUCCAGCCAACUUAAUUGUCAUCUGCUAUAGCAUUGUUGGUGUUUUUGUUUGGUCUAAAUUUGCUACAGGAUUCAAACAAAAAGAGGCAUGUUUUGUUGAGCACUUCAUGACAAAGUGCAUCGAUUUGGGCAUUUCUCCUAGUGCCACUCUAGCACAUUUGCAGAUAUGGCAAGCUGGUUUUGUUUCUUUGUUUAGUUCCAACUUCCAAGGAGACAAUGGAUCAAUCGUGGGUUUCCUAUUGUCAAAGAGUUUUCUCUGUUUCAGCUUGGUGGCGAGACAAUUUGUACAGUGUAAAUGA
Molecule: ribosomal RNA, 561 nt
Filed under: Triticum aestivum (bread wheat)
Lineage: Eukaryota; Viridiplantae; Streptophyta; Magnoliopsida; Poales; Poaceae
Description: partial small subunit ribosomal RNA
Source: RNAcentral